UGGUUCUGGCAUCGAUGAAGAACGCAGCGAAAUGCGAUAAGUAGUGUGAAUUGCAGAAUUCAGUGAAUCAUCGAAUCUUUGAACGCACAUUGCGCCCUUUGGCAUUCCUUAGGGCAUGCCUGUUCGAGCGUCAUCUAACCCCUCAAGCACCGCUUGAUGUUGGGCGUUUGUCCCGCCUCCGGGCGCGGACUCGCCUCGAAAGCAUUGGCAGCCUGUGUAUUGGCUUCGAGCGCAGCAGACUCGCGCCUCGUCCCCUCUCCGCGCAGGCGUCCACGAAGCAACCCCCAAGUUUGACCUCGGAUCAGGUAGGGAUACCCGCUGA
This 322-nucleotide unclassified non-coding RNA is filed under the name uncultured fungus. RNAcentral's name for it is "partial contains 5.8S ribosomal RNA and internal transcribed spacer 2". The stretch from base 1 to 133 matches the Rfam family "5.8S ribosomal RNA", at positions 22 to 154 of the family's 154-position model. The record is from RNAcentral. Lineage: Eukaryota; Fungi.